Molecule: transfer RNA, 78 nt
Filed under: Caudoviricetes sp.
Lineage: Duplodnaviria; Heunggongvirae; Uroviricota; Caudoviricetes
Description: tRNA-Glu
Rfam family: tRNA
About the family: Transfer RNA (tRNA) molecules are approximately 80 nucleotides in length.
Source: RNAcentral
GACCCCUUCGUCUAAAGGUGAGGAUAGGAGACUUUCAAUCUCCUGAUGCAUUGGGUUCAAGUCCCGCAGGGGCCACCA